RNAcentral lists this transfer RNA (74 nucleotides) under Helianthus annuus (common sunflower). RNAcentral describes it as "tRNA-OTHER". Lineage: Eukaryota; Viridiplantae; Streptophyta; Magnoliopsida; Asterales; Asteraceae. The record is from RNAcentral.
UUUGUUGUAGUCUAGCUGGUUUCAUUGACACCUCCUCAUACAGGAGGUUACGGGUUCGAUUCCCAGCAACCAUC